RNAcentral lists this long non-coding RNA (3256 nucleotides) under Homo sapiens (human). RNAcentral describes it as "HSALNT0377504". The record is from RNAcentral. Lineage: Eukaryota; Metazoa; Chordata; Mammalia; Primates; Hominidae.
GUAGGCGUCCACACUGGAGAAGGAAUAAGAUGGGCGAUUGCCUGGGAAGCCUGACAGGGCGGCGGCAGCUGGGAUGCUGGAGAGGACUGGCCCCUUGAGUUACUGAGUCCGAUGAAUGUGCUUGCUCUGCUGGAGGAACCGCGCUCAGGUUACAGUCAUCCCAAUAUGGUUCUGAAGGUGCGUGGUUCAGGUCACUUAGGACUUGACCAGAUACCGGGUUUCUUUUACAAGCCGUUUCUGACGGUGGCCUGUUUCAACUACUGGCAGAGCUCAUGUAAAACAGACUUUUAAAAAAAUUUGGGGGGCUUUUAGUAUUUUUUUCUUAUUCCUAUAUUCUGAGGAUAUUUUAUAGUAGUCCCACAUAUGGAAUUAGAUAAUCUCUUUUUUGUUUGAUUAACAGUUUUAUCAAGUAUAAUGUACAUACCAUAACGUUCACCCAUUUUAAUGGAUUCAAUGAUUUUUAGCAUAUUUACAGAGUGGUGCAACCAUCAGCAUAAUAGAAUUAAGGAAUCGUGAUUUUUUUUUUCUGGUAAUUGCUUUUACAGUUCUCAAAGUUUGCACAAGCGGAUAUUUUAGAGGUACAGUGUAAUAUAAGAGCUUCUGAAAAUGUCCACUUAAGUUGUUUUAUACCUGAGCAAGUGAAAUUAAGAAGGGAAUUGAAGCAAAUAUUCCUGGUAAGUUGUAGGGAGUGAAACUUUUGUGUCUUGUAAUACCAAGUAGAUAUUGACCAUUUCAACUGGUUUUUAUGCUGAGGAAAUGCAUAAACCCCAUUUUACAGAUGAUGAAAUCGACUUUGAAGGAUAAGUUGCCUACAGCUGCAUACCUGUGCCUGGGCUAGGCCCCAAACCCAGAUGCUUUAUCUCUCAAUUUGUUACCCUUGCUACCUCAACAGCUUGGUUUUCAACCAUGGUACUGAUGAGUGUGAACAGUACAAGCCAUUCAUUUACUGAGCAAAUAAUUAUUGAGUGCCACUCUGUGCCAAGAACACUGCUAUAGGUGCUAGAGAUAUUAUUGAAUCAGAUACCGUAGUGAACUGUUCCUGCCCUCAGCUCAUCUUCUGGUGGGGAGGACAAUGAUCAAGUAAAGAAAUAUAUAGUUUUAGAGAUUCAUCUAUUUUUUUAAUAGGUAAAUUAAAAGGGCAAGGAAUGGCAGUGGGAGGCAGAAUCUGAUGAGAAAAAUCUGAAUGAAGAGAGGAAGUUAGGAUAUAAGAAAGAAAGCAAGGGUUUGAUUUGAGCAAGCGCAAAAAUAGAGUUGUGAUUUACUGAAUUGAAAUAAGGUGAUACUGGAAGGACCAGGUUUUGGGGGUACAAUCAUAAGUUUGGCUUUAAAUGUUUUUAAAUACCUUGCCUCUUAGACAUCCAAGUGGAGAUAUGGCAUUUAAAUUCAUGAGAUUGGAUGAGAUCCCACCAAAGGAACAGGUUUAGGUGGAGACAACCAAAUACCGAUGCCUAGGACACUGCAGUGUUUAGAAUUCAAGGAGAUGAGAAGGAAACAGGAGGGAAGAUUGAAAAGAAGAGUCCAGUGUGUUAUGAGGAAAACCCCAAGAGCAUGCUGCCUUACAAGACAGGUGAAAAAUGUGUUCUGUGAAAGAAAGAGUAAUUAACUGUUAAAUGUUACAGACUGAUCAAAUAAAAUGAAGACUGAGAAUGGCCUGUUUGUAAGAUCACUUUUAAAAGGAAAACAUAGGAGCCUGAAACAGAAGUGGGAAACAAAUAUUUACUCAAACUAAGAGACUAAACUCAGUAGCCAGCAACAAGAGAUCAAGAUGGAGUCCUCCUCUGUCACCCAGGCUGGAACGCAGUGGUAUGAUCUCGGCUAACUGCAACCUCAGCCUGCCAGGUUCAAGCAAUUCUUCUGCCUCAGCCUCCCGAGUAGCUGGGAUUACAGGUGCCUGCUGCCAUGAUGAUUAAUUUUAUGUGUUAACUUAGCUGGGCUGUGUUGCCCAGAUAGUUGGUUAAACAUUAUUCUGGAUGUUUCUGUGAAGAUGUUUUUGGAUGAGGUUAACAUUUAGAUCGGUGGACUUUGAGUAAAGCAGAUUACCUUUCAUAAUUUGGGUGGGGCUCAUCCAAUCAGUUGAACAUCUGAAGAGACCAAAAGACUGACCUUCUGCAAGCAAAGAAAAAUUCUGCCAACAGACAGCCAUUGGACUUGAACUUCAACAUUGACUCUUCAGUCUAUUGGCCCACCCUGCAAAUUUUGGACUUGCCAGUAAGUGUCUGAAAUCUAGUGAGGCAAUUUCUUUCUUUUUUUUUUUUUUGAGAUGGAGUUUCGCUCUUGUUGUCCAGGCUGGAGUGCAGUGGUGCGAUCUCAGCUCACCGUAACCUCUGCCUCCCAGGUUCAAGUGAUUCUUCUGCCUCAGCCUCCUGAGUAGCUGGGAUUACAGGCAUGUGCCACCACGCCUGGCUACUUUUGUAUUUUUAGUAGAGAUGGGGUUUCUCCAUAUUGGUCAGGCUGGUCUCAAAUUCCCAAACUCAGGUGAUCCACCCGCCUUGGCCUCCCAAAGUGCUGGGAUUACAGGUGUGAGCCACAGUGCCCAGCCUAAUUUCUUUCUUUCUUUCUUUCUUUUUUUGAGACAGAGUUUUGCUCUUUUUGACCAGAAAGGAGUGCAAUGUGGCAGGAUGUUGGCUCACUGCAACCUCCACCUCCUGGCCUCUCUAGUAGCUGGGAUUACAGGCGCCUGCCACCACGCCCAGCUAAUUUUUGUAUUUUUAGUAGAGAUGGGGUUUCACCAUGUUGGCCAGGCUGGUCUCAAACUCCUGAAAUUACGUGAUCUGCCCGCCUUGGCCUCCCAAAGUGCUGGGAUUACAGGCGUGAGCCACCAUGCCUAGCCGGGUAGUUUAUCUUGACUUGACUUCAGGCUCACCAAUCCUUUUGGCUGCAAUUCUACGAUAGAAAAGGACAUAAAAAACUUUAAAUUAGCCUUAGAAUAAAGAGAUGUUAUCAUUCCCUAGCAAUUAGUAUUCAAAGCAAGAUCCAAAUAUGUAAUUAGUCAUUUAUGUAUCUAAGCUGUUUGUAUGUAUGAUACAAGUUUUCACAUACAAAUUUCUUCUUUCUUUCUUUCUUUCUUUUUUUUUGAUAGAGGCAGGGUUUCACGACAUUGCCCAGGCUGGUCUUGAGCUCAAGUGAUCCAUCUGCCUUGGCCUCCCAAAGUGCUGAGAUUACAGGCAUGAGCCACAGUGCCUGGCCCAAAUUAUUGUAGUUAUUUCCAAUUCCUUUCCCCCUUCUCACAUCCCAAUUAAAGAAUUCCACUCAGGAA